AAUUAUGAUUAUUAUUAUUAUUAUAAUUGAUAUUGUUGUUAUUUGUCUGUUCAUUGCAGUCUUCGGCCAAUGGCGUUGCACUUAUCUCGAGAAAUGCGAUGGAAUCGCUUAUAGAACGGCGGUGGACGCCGCGUCUGGCGGACGUGAAGUCCAAGAAUUCAUCAACCCAGGAGGGUUGACGGGUGUCAACAACAACGGCGGCUGCAGCGGUGGCGCUGGUGUGAGUAUUGGAGAGAUAGUUAGACAUUGUUUGAUGAGGAAAUGGAGGCCAAUUUGGAGUG
This 281-nucleotide unclassified non-coding RNA is filed under the name Hevea brasiliensis (rubber tree). The record is from RNAcentral. Lineage: Eukaryota; Viridiplantae; Streptophyta; Magnoliopsida; Malpighiales; Euphorbiaceae.